Molecule: ribosomal RNA, 493 nt
Filed under: uncultured bacterium
Lineage: Bacteria
Description: partial 16S ribosomal RNA
Rfam family: Bacterial small subunit ribosomal RNA
Source: RNAcentral
GACGAACGCUGGCGGCGUGCCUAAUACAUGCAAGUCGAACGCUGAAGGAGGAGCUUGCUUCUCUGGAUGAGUUGCGAACGGGUGAGUAACGCGUAGGUAACCUGCCUGGUAGCGGGGGAUAACUAUUGGAAACGAUAGCUAAUACCGCAUAAUAGUAGAUGUUGCAUGACAUUUGCUUAAAAGGUGCAAUUGCAUCACUACCAGAUGGACCUGCGUUGUAUUAGCUAGUUGGUGGGGUAACGGCUCACCAAGGCGACGAUACAUAGCCGACCUGAGGGUGAUCGGCCACACUGGGACUGAGACACGGCCCAGACUCCUACGGGAGGCAGCAGUAGGGAAUCUUCGGCAAUGGACGGAAGUCUGACCGAGCAACGCCGCGUGAGUGAAGAAGGUUUUCGGAUCGUAAAGCUCUGUUGUAAGAGAAGAACGAGUGUGAGAGUGGAAAGUUCACACUGUGACGGUAUCUUACCAGAAAGGGACGGCUAACUACGUG